GUGAGUAAAGUGGCGUACGGGUGAGUAACACGUGGGUAAUCUACCUUCGGGUGUGGAAUAACGCUGGGAAACCGGCGCUAAUACCGCAUAAGCUUGAAAAAGGAAAGCAGCAAUGCGCCGGAAGAGGAGCCCGCGGCCGAUUAGCUAGUUGGUGAGGUAACGGCCCACCAAGGCUGAGAUCGGUAGCCGGCCUGAGAGGGCACACGGCCACACUGGCACUGAAACACGGGCCAG
This 234-nucleotide ribosomal RNA is filed under the name uncultured bacterium. Its description in RNAcentral is "partial 16S ribosomal RNA". It matches the Rfam family "Bacterial small subunit ribosomal RNA", at positions 86 to 334 of the family's 1533-position model. The record is from RNAcentral.